Molecule: ribosomal RNA, 253 nt
Filed under: uncultured bacterium
Lineage: Bacteria
Description: partial 16S ribosomal RNA
Rfam family: Bacterial small subunit ribosomal RNA
Source: RNAcentral
UACGUAGGUGGCAAGCGUUAUCCGGAAUUACUGGGCGUAAAGCGCACGCAGGCGGUCUUUUAAGUUUGACGUGAAAGCUCCCGGCUUAACUGGGAGAGGUCGUUGAAGACUGGAAGACUUGAGGCAAUGAGAGGGGUGUAGAAUUCCCGGUGUAGUGGUGGAAUGCGUAGAUAUCGGGGGGAAUACCAGUGGCGAAAGCGGCACCCCAGCGUUAGCCUGACGCUCAUGUGCGAAAGCGUGGGGAGCGAACGGG